This 1268-nucleotide long non-coding RNA is filed under the name Manihot esculenta (cassava). Its description in RNAcentral is "long non-coding RNA (MESC_LNC006588)". The record is from RNAcentral. Lineage: Eukaryota; Viridiplantae; Streptophyta; Magnoliopsida; Malpighiales; Euphorbiaceae.
GAAGCAAAAACACAACCACAACCCAAUUCAGCCCACAAUCCAAACCUCACUGAAUGCCAAAUGACAACCCAAGUCAGCCCACAAUCCAAACCAUCCUCAUAUUAUGCAGCACAUACAACACCAUCCACAUCACUUCCUUCAUCGAAGAGCAGAUCAGAAAAAAGUACAACCUAUAAACAGCGGCAUCUCAAUCCCAACACCACGACAAAGAAAUCACAGCAACAAGAGGCGUGCAUGGAAUCAGAACAAAUAUGAGAAGGCUCACAGUUGGAUGAAACAACCCGGAAGGAAGAAUAAGUAUUGCAAAAGGUGACAGCAGAGUGCCAAGUCGAUCAGCGGCUUGAUGGGAACAUGACUUACCGAAUGUAGCGGUAUAGUACUUAGAGAUGCAAACAUGGCACAGAGAAACCUCCUCGAAACCAGAUGAACCAAGCCAACCACCUUAAAAAACAGGUUUGAAAACUAGCCUGUCCAUAUCAAUCGCUGAAGACCUGCAAAGAAACUAAAAGAGAAAAGAGAAAAACACAACAAAAGGGAAAGCCAGCAUCCUUAGCAUGGGCAAUUAAGAAGGUGGAGGAAAAAACAGAAACAAAGAGAUUUUAGGUAGGGGAAAAUGAAAUCAAACCAAAAAACGCGAAACAGCAACCAUCGGAUCACCACAACAAAUAGAUCAAACUCGAGAAUCUUCAAACAAAUCCCAAACUCGUUCCUCUACCCUUUCACACACUCUCUUUCCUUUCUCUCUUAUUUGUACAAAAUUGAUUAUGAUUAAAUUUAUUUCUUUAUCAAAUGUGAUAGAAUUGAAAAAAAUACAAUAUUUUUAGAUUAAGAUGUCGAUAUUAUAAAAUUACCUUACCUCUCCUUUACCAUGCUUGUUUGAAUCAUUGUACAUUCAAGCAGUAGCACUAACAUGUAUAUACGUAUAUAUUGAAUUUCUUUCUGUGACGAUUAUUGCUAAAAAAUACAUGCCUAACAAUGUUCCCCCGUCCAAACUCCAGAACAAACAACUGAAACAAGAGCACUACAUCUUCAGAGCAGCAUAAACCGAACCCAGCUUGUGGAGGAAACAGGUCCUUAGCCAAGUAUAGCUUCCCCUGUGCCUUGGAUUUCUAGACACCCCUCUGUUAAUGGCAGUGGUGGCUGGCUUUUAACUACACGAGGUGACAUAAAGACCAUCUCACUCCAGACUGUUCAAGCUCUUUAAGAGCUAUUUGAAGCAUCACCCCUCCAUGAUCAUCUUAAUGAAAAUCAAGAUUCCAUUUGUUUUA